This is a small nucleolar RNA of Arachis stenosperma, 108 nucleotides long. The record is from RefSeq and is a predicted model, not a curated record. Lineage: Eukaryota; Viridiplantae; Streptophyta; Magnoliopsida; Fabales; Fabaceae.
AAUCAUGUGGUGGGGGCAUGCAUCCAGAAGGUUCUUGAAGCGCUCCCAAUAGUCAUAAAGAGUUUCUGAAUUGUCUUGAAUAAUGCAGGAAAUUUCUUUCCUCAGUCU